This is a small nucleolar RNA of Anopheles coustani, 98 nucleotides long. RefSeq annotates it as small nucleolar RNA snR60/Z15/Z230/Z193/J17. The record is from RefSeq and is a predicted model, not a curated record. Lineage: Eukaryota; Metazoa; Arthropoda; Insecta; Diptera; Culicidae. The transcript has a single exon.
CCACGUCAAACUGAUGAGUUGCAUAGUUCAUAUGACUUUACAAUGAUAUUUUACUUGUUGAAAAUGGUCUUUCACCCCUAUCUGAAUGCAUGACGAAC